UUACUCGGGACGGGGCUUGGCUAGAGCCAUGCGCAUGCGCGUCCCGCUCCGGCGCCGUCCUUGGAGGCCCGCCGGCCGACGCGGUGCCAGCCCCGAGCCACGUAGGUGCGGGCGGCGCCGGAAUGAGGAGCAGUGUGGCUGAUGCUCCGGCGGGUCUGCAACCAGACCUCCGAUUCUCAGACAAAGGUUGUGGGACACUGGGUGGGAGGCGGACUCCCUGAGUCCGAACUAGGAUUGCGGCCGGCUAAGGCUGGCUGGAUACACCGAAAUCUGGAAGCGAAGGCAGGAACCAGCGUGCAUAUCAUCCACAUUUACACAGGCGGAAAAUAGGCCUAGCAGACUUCAAGUACCUACUUCACGGGGUUCUCAAAUUUUAUUGCAUAUUAUUGACCAGGUAGAGCUUUUAGAAAGCCCGAUGCCCAGACGGCGCCACACACCAAUUACAGGGGAAUCUCUGGGGAUGAGAUUCGGGCGUCAAUAGUAUUUAACCCUCCCCCCACCCACGUGAUUCAAGUGUGCAAUCAUGUUCGAAAACCUGUGACAGUACCUGGGGGGUUUGUUAAAACACAGGGUGCCCGACCUCAUCCCUGUGUUUCUGAUUCAGUAGGUCUGGUGUGUGUGUGUGGGGGGGGGGGGGGGUGGCGGUCCAAGAACUUGCAUUUCAUGUCUGUCAAGUUCACAGGUGACGUUGAUACUGCUGGCUGGGAACCACGCCUUUAGCCUUUGUAUUCAGAGGUGGUCCACAGACCGGCAGCGUCAGCGUCUCUGUGAGUUCAUUAGAAGCGCAGUCUCAGGCCCCAGCCCAGACCUACCGAAUCCGAAUUCCCCACUUUAACAGGAACCCCGGGUGAUAUUUGUGCGCAAUAAAGUUUGAGAAAAGCUGAUGUAGAGGAUUACUGGGAAUCUGGGUGUCUUGAAGCUGCCUAAAUGUUGAGCAUUGAAUAUUCAAAACUUGGUCUGCCUGACUAUGCCACCCGUGGGAAAAAUCAACAAGAAGCAAUGUAUGUGGUAGAAAGUAAAGGACAGCAAAGGCUAUUGCAAAUGGAGUGGUAGGAAUCAAGCAUAAACAAACCAGAAUGAUGGUAGAGACAAUUAGUGGAGGAUUUUAGAAACUGAAAAACGUGUUAUCAGUAUUGAAGUCAUAAUAUCAACGAAUAGUGUUGGAUACUUGGAGGACCUUGAUGACCUUCAAUUCAUCUACGUUGUCUGAAUGCUGGAGAUUAAAUCAAGUUUUGUGAUUGUUCGAGAAAAUUUAAAGUGUAAGUUUUUAUAUCCUUGCCCUACCAUCUUUCUAGGAAGAAAUUACUUACCUUUCUUUCCUCUCUUUUUCUUUCUUCCUUUUCUUUCCCUUCUCCAUCUCCUCUUCCUCUCUCUUUUUCUCCUUAUCUUCCUCCUCUUAUUUUUUAUGAAGCUACUUGGCCUUCUUUGCUGCUGGGUAGGAAGAAAAACUGGAGAAACUGAAAAUCAGGUG
RNAcentral lists this long non-coding RNA (1471 nucleotides) under Equus caballus (horse). RNAcentral's name for it is "lncRNA (ENSECAG00000042271.2)". Lineage: Eukaryota; Metazoa; Chordata; Mammalia; Perissodactyla; Equidae. The record is from RNAcentral.